AGCUUUACGCAGUGGCAGUAUCGUAGCCAAUGAGGUUUAUCUGAGGCAUGAUUAUUGCUAAUUUUAAAAAAUGAGUCGUCUCAAAGAUUGGGAAAGUCUCAUUUUUCCCAUUGCACUUACUCUACCCCACCCCAGACAGCAGGUGC
This is a small nuclear RNA of Suricata suricatta (meerkat), 146 nucleotides long. Its record names the gene U4. It matches the Rfam family "U4 spliceosomal RNA". Rfam says of the family: U4 small nuclear RNA (U4 snRNA) is a component of the major U2-dependent spliceosome. The structure of U4 snRNA from yeast and human has been reported. Lineage: Eukaryota; Metazoa; Chordata; Mammalia; Carnivora; Herpestidae. The record is from Ensembl.